GACGAACGCUGGCGGCGUGCUUAACACAUGCAAGUCGAACGGUGAAGCGCCUUCCUUUUUGGUGGGUGUGGAUGAGUGGCGAACGGGUGAGUAACACGUGAGUAACCUGCCCCCUUCUUUUGGAUAACCGCAUGAAAGUGUGGCUAAUACGGGAUAUUCUGGGUCUGUCGCAUGAUGGGUCUGGGACAGCUGUUGUUUCGGUGGGGGAUGGGCUCGCGGCUUAUCAGCUUGUUGGGGGGGUGAUGGCGUACCAAGGCGGUGACGGGUAGCCGGCUUUGACGGGUGGACGGCCACAGUGGGAGUGAGGCACCGCCGAGACUGCUACGGGAGGCAGCAGCGGAGAAUAGUGCACAGUGGGGGCAAGUGUGAUGCAGCGACGCCGCGUAAGCGAUGGAGGCCUGCGGGUUAUGAACCUCUUUCGCCAGUGAAGCAGGCCUGCCUCGUUUGUGGGUGGGUUGACGGUAGCUGGAUAAGAAGCGCCGGCUAACUACGUG
Molecule: ribosomal RNA, 494 nt
Filed under: uncultured bacterium
Lineage: Bacteria
Description: partial 16S ribosomal RNA
Rfam family: Bacterial small subunit ribosomal RNA
Source: RNAcentral